Molecule: ribosomal RNA, 253 nt
Filed under: uncultured bacterium
Lineage: Bacteria
Description: partial 16S ribosomal RNA
Rfam family: Bacterial small subunit ribosomal RNA
Source: RNAcentral
UACGUAGGGGGCAAGCGUUGUCCGGAAUUAUUGGGCGUAAAGAGCGUGUAGGCGGUCCGGUAAGUCAGCUGUGAAAGUCAAAGGCUCAACCCUUGAAUGCCGGUUGAUACUGUCGGGCUAGAGUCCGGAAGAGGCGAGUGGAAUUCCCGGUGUAGCGGUGAAAUGCGCAGAUAUCGGGAGGAACACCAAUGGCGAAGGCAGCUCGCUGGGACGGUACUGACGCUGAGACGCGAAAGCGUGGGGAGCAAACAGG